RNAcentral lists this ribosomal RNA (270 nucleotides) under uncultured prokaryote. Its description in RNAcentral is "partial 16S ribosomal RNA". It matches the Rfam family "Bacterial small subunit ribosomal RNA", at positions 524 to 792 of the family's 1533-position model. The record is from RNAcentral.
UACGGAGGGUGCAAGCGUUGUCCGGAUUUAUUGGGCGUAAAGGGUGCGUAGGUGGAGCGAUAAGUCGGAAGUGAAAUCUAUACCGCUUAACGGAUAGUGGUCUUUCGAAACUGUCGCACUAGAGUGCAGGAGAGGGUGAUGGAAUUCCUGGUGUAGCGGUGGAAUGCGUAGAUAUCAGGAAGAACACCGGUUGCGAAGGCGAUCACCUGGCCUGUCACUGACGCUGAUGCACGAAAGCGUGGGGAGCGAACAGGAUUAGAUACCCGAGUA